CACUCGCCAUCCAAAGGCGUGGCGGCGCGAGCCAUGAAUCGUAUGGGUGUGCUGGGCUGCGCAAGGUUGCGGUGGGCGCUGCUGGGGACGCGGGUGGCUCUCCCUGGCCUCGGCUCCCACGGGGCCAGAGCCAAAGCCGCGACCCCCAGCGCCCUCCCUGCGGCCCAGGCAGCCAAGGCUCCCGGAACCGGGCCUGGCGAUCGGAGGCUGCGGAGCCUGGAGGAGCUUUCAGGGCCAGGGCAGCUGCGUCUCUUAUUCCAGCUGUUCGUGCAAGGCUACGUUCUGCGCUUGCACCAGCUCCAGGCAUUUAUUGCUGUGAACUUCCUUCUUGGAACUACUUUUGCUGCUUCCCAUAAGUUUUGGCUUUUGCCAUUCUUUGCAUCCUUUCCCUGAAGCCUCCAUUCCCAACCUCCACUGGACAUCAGCAUCAAAGGCCAGAUGAUCCGUGACCUUCUGAACCUGGCGGGCUUUGUUCUGCCCAGCGCAGAGGAUAUCCCUUCCAGCUCCAGCAGCUCCAGCAGCUCCACCACCAGGUCAGCCUCCUUGCUUGUCUGCAGCUCAGCUGGCAGCAUGAGCAGCCCCAUAGAGACUCUGGGAAGGGGUGGUGUCUGGGUGUUCCCUCCUGCUUGAUCUUCCUUACUGCUUGAUCUGCCCUGACAAUCUAUCCAUGCACACUGCCAUGUCAGUGCCCCUAAAAGCAUGUUUGAUUAAUUGCUCCCCUGCUCAGGAAUCCCUGCAGGUCCUGGGGAAUCAGCUUUAAAUUCCUCAAGCAGAUGUUCGAGGCCCCAGCCUCCUUUUCCCAGGCACCCCUCACUUUAAGUUUUGCUAUGUUGUGUUUUCCAUUUUCAUUCAUCUUUAGUAUUUUUUUAAAUUUCUCUUUUGAUUUCUUCUUUGACCUAGUGGUUGUUCAGUAGCAUGUUGUUUAAUAUCUGUGAAUUUUCCAGAUUUCUUCUUGCAGUUGAUUUCUCUUUUUAAAAAUUAAUUAAUUAACUAAUUAAAUUAUUUCUGGCUGCAUUGGGUCUUUAUUGCUGCACAUGGGCUUUCUCUGAUUGCAGCAAGUGGGGGCUACUCUUCAUUGCAGUGCGCAGGCUUCUCUUCAUUGCAGUGCGCGGGCUUCUCAUUACGGUGGCUUCUCUUGUUGCAGAGCACGGGCUCUAGGCGCAUGGGCUUCAGUAGUUGUGGCACGCGGGCUCAGUAGUUGUGGUUCGUGGGCUCUAGAGCACAGGCUCAGUAGUUGUGGCGCACGGGCUUAGUUGCUCCAUGGCGUGUUGGAUCUUCCCGGACCAGGGCUCAAACCUGUGUCCCCUGCAUUGGCAGGUGGAUUCUUACCUACUGCACCACCAGGGAAGUCUUUGCAGUUGAUUUCUAGUUUUGUACAAUUGUGUGGGAAAAGAUGCCUGAUUGGAUUUCAGUCUUCUUAAAUUUAUUAAGUUUUGUUUUGUGGCCUAACAUUUGAUGUAUCCUGGAGAAUGUUCCAUGUGUGCUUGAAAAGAAUGUAUUCUGUUGCUUUUGGGUAGAAUAUUCUGUAUAUGUCUGUUAAGUUCUUCUGGUUUAAUGUGUCAUUUAAGGCCAAUGUUUCUGUAUUGAUUUUCUGUGUGGAUGGUGAAGUGGGGUAUUAAAGUCUCCUACUAUUAUUAUAUUGUUAUCUAUUUCUCCCUUUAAGUCUGUCACAUAUUUAAGGGCACAUGUUUCUUACCAUUACCUGUUUAUAUAGCUUAGAGAUUGGGCUGUGAACCUCUGAGGGCCUAUGUCUUUCCCAGCUCUGUGUCCCCUAGCACCAGGCACAGUUCUGGGUACAGGGGAGGUUCUUGAUAAUGUUUGAUGAAUGAAUACAUUUCACGUACCAGUCAAAGGGCUAUGGGUGGUACUGAGCAGUAGCUACAUCUAGUGGUAAACUUCUUUGUGAGAUUCUUCUCAGCUCCCUGAUCUGAGUUGUUUGACAUAAGAUAGAGUGAAAAAGAGACAGUGAGGGAGGUGGGCAGAUUGAUCAAGCUGGCCCAAGCUGGCCCAUCAGGUCUUAGCUUUCUAGGUUCAGAAACUAAAUUUUGUCAGUUCAUUCAGCACGGGUAGACUAUUGGGGACUGACCCAUAUUGGCCAAACACACAGAAACAAAUUGUGGAUUGGAGUAUUUAUUUACAAAAGUUAGCCCUCCCAGGGAUCUUAUACCCCAUCACAUAGAAGCUCCCUAUUCUAGUUAUUCCUACCUAACAAACUAUACCAAAACAUAGUGGCUUAAAACAACAUUUUGUUAUAUUCAUGAUUUUGUGAGUCAGGAAUUUGGGCAGUGCACAUCAAAAAUGGCUUAUCUCUGCUUCACAGUGGAGUGGGGCUUUAGUUUGAAUGGCUGAAGAUGGGUGGGAUGGCUCAAGUGGGGCCAUAUGUUUAGGCCUCGGGUCUGGUUUUUGGCUGGCUUCCUUAGCUUUUCUCCAUGUCAUAUCUGCGGGGGCUGGAAUUUCCAAGAUGGCUUCUUCAAUUGCAUGUUGGAUGCCUGGGCUGGUUUGGCCAGAAUGGCUAUUUCUUUCACCACAUGGCUAACCUGGGCUUCCUCACAGCAUGGGGGUCUCUGCAUAGUCAGACUUCUUACAGGUGCUGGUUUCCCCCAGAGUGAAUAUUCCAAGAGAUAGAAAGUGGAAGUUGCCAGUUUCUUAAAUCCUGGUUCUGGAAACUGGCAUAGCAUCAUUCCUGCUGUAUUCUACACAUCAAAGCAGUUACAAGGCCCACCCAGAUUCUAGAGAAGAAGAUGUAGACCUGACCUAUUGAUGGGAGAGAUGUCAAAAAAUAUGUGGCCUUCUUUAAUACACCUAACCUCUUCCUAGAAUCCAUGUACCUAGGGAGAGAAAUUAAUAACUACAUUAGUGGACUGCUUGGUGUGCAGGGACCCCAGAACUAAAGCAGUAGAAUUGUAUGGAAAAAAAUUUCAUCUAGACCUUGGAGAAACCUGGUUGAAUGUGCUUCUCUGGUGCCUGUCCAUUAGAUUAAGUAUCUCUCUCUCUUCAGAGAUAAAUAAUGCCUAUUUUUGCUCUUUGGCUCCUUCUUCUGGGUUUUGUAAUGGCCACUCCCAUCCUGUUAACACAUUCUUUCAUCAGUUUGGCUAAUACCAUUGAUUAGAUGGAUUUUCUUUCUCAGUACUCAUGUUACCAUCAAGCCUUCCAGAGAUUAUCCUCCAGUUACCUUGACUUGGCUUGAGUGUUUUUCAGUCUCAUCUGGCAUAUGUUUACAGAUUGUCCUUGAGAGUCUGGUGGAAUAUAAUGUAGCGCUUUAAAGCCUCAGGGAUGGGAAAUUUGAAACUAGGUAUUAAGGUAUAAAGUGUGAGUCAUACCAACUUAGCAAAUGCACUGCCAGAAUUUUUAUCUUACAGAUAAAAUUUGUGGUCAAAGAAAUAUUACACACUUUUCAAGAUAGCAAUAUUUCUGAUUGGGAAACGUUAGAAUGACUUACAUAUCCCAGUAGGGAACUAAUUAAAUAAAUUACAGUACAUUCAUACAAUGGAAUUUUACACAGCCAUUAAAAAUAAAAGGGGCAGGGCUUCCCUGGUGGCGCAGUGGUUGAGAGUCUGCCUGCCGAUGCAGGGGACACGGGUUCGUGCCCCGGUCCGGGAAGAUCCCACAUGCCGCGGAGCGGCUGGGCCCGUGAGCCACGGCCGCUGAGCCUGCGCUGUCCGGAGCCUGUGCUCCGCAAUGGGAGAGACCACAACAGUGAGAGGCCCGCAUCCCGCAAAAAAAAAAUAAAUAAAAUAAAAUAAAAUAAAAUAAAAUAAAAGGGGCAGAUCUAUGCAUAUUAAUAUGAAUUGCUUGGAGAUGGGAAGAAAGUAAGGUGCAAAACUAUAUAAUAUGCCAUCAUUUGUGGAUAAAAAGUAUGAGGGGUAUAUUCAUAUAUAUAGAUAGAUAGAUAGAUAGAUAGAUAGAUAGAUAGAUUUGUAUGUGCAUAAAAUAUCCCUGGGAGGACACAUAAGAAAUUGGUAAUGAUGAUUGCCUCUCUGUAGAGGUCUUGGAGUCUGGAGAUGAGAGUUAGGAGGAAGACUUACUUUUUUAAAAAAAAAAUACAUUUAUGUAUUUUUGGCUGCUUUGGGUCUUCAUUGCUGCACGCAGGCUUUCUCUAGUUGUGGUGAGCGGGGUCUACUCUUCAUUGCGGUGAGCAGGCUUCUCAUUGCGGUGGCUUCUCUUGUUUCAGAGCACGGGCUCUAGCCAUGUGGGCUUCAGCAGUUGUGACACGCGGUCUCAGUAGUUGUGGCACAUGGGCUUAGUUGCUCUGCGGCAUGUGGGAUCUUCCUGGACCAGAGCUCGAACCCGUGUCCCCUGCAUUGGCAGGUGGAGUCUUAACCACUGCACCACCAGGGAAGUCCCAAAACUUACUUUAUAUUGCAAGACUUCUAUGGACCUCCACCAGAGUUUCCUCUGGCUUUAUCCUGCCCAGGCAUAGUUCACCAUCUUUUGGGUCUUUUUGUACCCUUUGCAUUUUAACAGUGUACGUAUAUAUUGCCUUUUACCAUUUUAAAAACAACAACAAAAGAAUGGAGAGCAAGAGAUAAAGCAUGGCUGACCUAGUGCUUCCUGGUCCAGCAUAAUAUUUUGAGAUCUUCUGAUGGCCUUUCCUCUUGUACCCCUGUUUGGCUCUGGGUCCUUACUUUUGAUGUCCACUUCUGAAUCUGCAUCCUCUUUUUAGCUCUGCGUCCAUUGCUGGUCAUCUCCUCCUUGUUCUUGAAUACCCUCAUUGUUCCAGUCCAGACCAUCCCAGCUUGCAGGCAAAGGUGCACAGCUUACUGAGGUUUGCCUCUGGGUGUGUGAGGGGUGCAGUUUGGGGGUGCUGCUUCUGUUUUCCUAACAGCCUCUCUGAGGGCGUCCCAGGCAAGGCCUUUUCUUGGAUUACCCUUAGAUCUGCCUCUACUCUCAGCCCAUUGUUUCUCUGGUACAAAAUCAGAGGAAAAUUCUUACUGUCCACCUAUCUGGUACAUAUCUUUGUAACUUUUUAUGACAGUGCUUCUGUCUUGCAUAAAAGCAGACAUUUUUAUAAAUAUUGAAGUAAUGGCUGCACACAUGCACAAAAAAUUUUUUUUUGCAGCUUUGUUUGUAAAAUCAAAAAUUCAGUAACAUGUUAAAUGCCCAUCAGCAGGAUAAAUAGAUUGUGACAUAUUCAUACAAUGGAACACUAUGCAAUAGUCAUAAUGAACGCACAAACUUUUUAUAUCUCAGUAUAGAACUUGGCAGGGGGAGGGAUGAAUUAGAAGCUUGGGAUUAACAGAUAUACACUACUAUAUAUAAAAUGGGUAAACAGCAAGGACCUACUGUAUAGCACAGGGAACUAUAUUCAAUAUCUUGUGAUAACCUAUAUGAGAAAAGAAUCUGAGUUAUUAUAUAUAACUGAAUCACUUUGCUGUACACCAAAAACUAACAGAACAGUGUAAAUCAACUAUACUUCAAUAAAAAAAUUAGAACUCAGAACCAAAGUUGAGUAUAGAAUGAUAUGUACUGUAGAAUACUAUUUUUAUAAAUUAACAACCACA
Molecule: RNA transcript, 5501 nt
Organism: Physeter macrocephalus (sperm whale)
Lineage: Eukaryota; Metazoa; Chordata; Mammalia; Artiodactyla; Physeteridae
Gene: CYP27A1
Gene name: cytochrome P450 family 27 subfamily A member 1
Exons: 2
Source: RefSeq, a predicted model, not a curated record